UCCUACGGGACGCAGCAGUAGGGAAUUUUCGUCAAUGGGCGCAAGCCUGAACGAGCAAUGCCGCGUGAACGAGGAAGGUCUUCGGAUCGUAAAGUUCUGUUGAAGGGGAAAAAGAGCGGAGAGAGGAAAUGGUCUCCGAUUGAUAUUACCCUUCGAGGAAGUCACGGCUAACUACGUGCCAGCAGCCGCGGUAAUACGUAGGUGGCGAGCGUUAUCCGGAAUGAUUGGGCGUAAAGGGUGCGUAGGCGGCCUGCUAAGUCUGGAGUGAAAGCCUUCGGCUUAACCGGAGUAGUGCAUUGGAAACU
RNAcentral lists this ribosomal RNA (305 nucleotides) under uncultured bacterium. RNAcentral describes it as "bacterial SSU rRNA". It matches the Rfam family "Bacterial small subunit ribosomal RNA", at positions 337 to 634 of the family's 1533-position model. The record is from RNAcentral.